This 253-nucleotide ribosomal RNA is filed under the name uncultured bacterium. RNAcentral describes it as "partial 16S ribosomal RNA". It matches the Rfam family "Bacterial small subunit ribosomal RNA", at positions 524 to 776 of the family's 1533-position model. The record is from RNAcentral.
UACGGGGGGGGCAAGCGUUGUUCGGAAUUACUGGGCGUAAAGGGCUCGUAGGCGGCCAACUAAGUCAGACGUGAAAUCCCCAGGCUCAACCUGGGAACUGCGUCUGAUACUGGAUGGCUUGAAUCCGGGAGAGGGAUGCAGAAUUCCAGGUGUAGCGGUGAAAUGCGUAGAUAUCUGGAGGAAUACCGGUGGCGAAGGCGGCAUCCUGGACCGGCAUUGACGCUGAGGAGCGAAAGCUAGGGGAGCGAACCGG